This 241-nucleotide ribosomal RNA is filed under the name Cylindrospermopsis raciborskii CENA303. Its description in RNAcentral is "partial 16S ribosomal RNA". It matches the Rfam family "Bacterial small subunit ribosomal RNA", at positions 1302 to 1533 of the family's 1533-position model. The record is from RNAcentral. Lineage: Bacteria; Bacillati; Cyanobacteriota; Cyanophyceae; Nostocales; Aphanizomenonaceae.
AGGCUGCAACUCGCCUGCGUGAAGGCGGAAUCGCUAGUAAUCGCAGAUCAGAAUGCUGCGGUGAAUACGUUCCCGGGCCUUGUACACACCGCCCGUCACACCAUGGAAGCUGGUCACGCCCGAAGUCGUUAUCCUAACCGUUCGCGGAGGGAGAUGCCUAAGGCAGGGCUGGUGACUGGGGUGAAGUCGUAACAAGGUAGCCGUACCGGAAGGUGCGGCUGGAUCACCUCCUUUUAGGGAG